This 492-nucleotide ribosomal RNA is filed under the name uncultured bacterium. RNAcentral's name for it is "partial 16S ribosomal RNA". It matches the Rfam family "Bacterial small subunit ribosomal RNA", at positions 29 to 507 of the family's 1533-position model. The record is from RNAcentral.
AGUGAACGCUGGCGGCAGGCCUAACACAUGCAAGUCGAACGGCAGCACAGUAAGAGCUUGCUCUUACGAGUGGCGAGUGGCGGACGGGUGUGGAAUACAUCGGACUCGACUUUUACGUGGGGGAUACCGUAGGGAAACUUACGCUAAUACCGCAUCCGACCUACGGGUGAAACCAGGGGAGCUUCGGACCUUGCGCGAUAGAUUGAGCCGAGGUCGGAUUAGCUAGUUGGCGGGGUAAAGGCCCACAAAGGCGACGGUCCGUAGCUGGUCUGAGAGGAUGAUCAGCCAAACUGGAACUGAGACACGGCCCAGACUCUUACGGGAGGAAGCAGUGGGGAAUAUCGGACAAUGGGGGAAAGCCUGAGGCAGAAAGCCCGCGUGGGGGAAGAAGGCUUUCGGGUGGUAAACCCCUUUUGUCGGGAAAGAAAAGCAGCAUGCUAAUAGCCAGCUGUUUUGACGGUACCCAAAUAGUAAGCACCGGCUAACUUCGUG